Molecule: long non-coding RNA, 294 nt
Filed under: Vigna radiata
Lineage: Eukaryota; Viridiplantae; Streptophyta; Magnoliopsida; Fabales; Fabaceae
Description: long non-coding RNA (VRAD_LNC013920)
Source: RNAcentral
AUUCUUUACCUUGAGUUGGAAUGAGCUUAAUUUUAUGCGAUGAAAAGGUUCAAGUUUGGGUUUGUUGGGAAAAAAAAUUGAAAGGCUAGUGAAAAGCAUUGAGCUCAAAUGUUGUGAAAAGAAAAAUUCAUGAGAAAAAAGAAAACAAAAUAAGAAAGGCAUGAAGAGGAGCUCAAUGAAAAAGAAAAGGGAAGAAGUUGGGAAUAAGUGAGAUUGGUGAGAAAGAGAGUUGUGAUUAAUUGUUAAAUAUUAUGAAAGCUCUCUUAACUCAAGGAUUUUGUUUUCCAGAAAAAC